Molecule: ribosomal RNA, 393 nt
Filed under: uncultured bacterium
Lineage: Bacteria
Description: bacterial SSU rRNA
Rfam family: Bacterial small subunit ribosomal RNA
Source: RNAcentral
UGGGGAAUCUUGCACAAUGGGGGCAACCCUGAUGCAGCGACGCCGCGUGAGCGAUGAAGCCCUUCGGGGCGUAAAGCUCUUUCGACCGGAACGAUAAUGACGGUACCGGGAGAAGAAGCUGCGGCUAACUACGUGCCAGCAGCCGCGGUAAUACGUAGGCAGCAAGCGUUGUUCGGAGUUACUGGGCGUAAAGAGUGCGUAGGCGGUUUUCUAAGUUCGGUGUGAAAUCUCCCGGCUGAACUGGGAGGGUGCGCCGAAGACUGGGAAGCUGGAGUGUGGGAAAGGCAGGCGGAAUUCCUGGUGUAGCGGUGAAAUGCGUAGAUAUCAGAAGGAACACCGGCGGUGUAGACGGCUUGCUAGACCAUAACUGACGCUGAGGCACGAAAGCGUGGG